This 66-nucleotide transfer RNA is filed under the name Cordylochernes scorpioides. RNAcentral describes it as "tRNA-Cys". The record is from RNAcentral. Lineage: Eukaryota; Metazoa; Arthropoda; Arachnida; Pseudoscorpiones; Chernetidae.
GUGGUUCAGUGGUAGAAUGCUAGCCUGCAACACGGGCGGACCAGGUUUGAUUCCCGGGAGAAAACA